Molecule: long non-coding RNA, 1061 nt
Organism: Oryzias latipes (Japanese medaka)
Lineage: Eukaryota; Metazoa; Chordata; Actinopteri; Beloniformes; Adrianichthyidae
Source: RefSeq, a predicted model, not a curated record
AUCUAACCAAUGGAAGACCCAUAGAUGUAAGAAGAAGAUGUGAAUAUAAGGACAUUCUCCAGCUAUCCUGUUUCGAACACCGAGGCUAAACCAAAGGAAAACAAGUCUGCAAUAAAUAUUCCAACCACAUUCCUACAUCGAGAUGUUAGGCACAUCAUUGUGAUCCUACCAGUUGAGGAACAGAAGUCUAACCAAAAUAAAGAUGAAGCCAAAGUAUGACCUCCUUGGGUUCAAGAACCAGGAGCUCAAGUGGGAGGGGUCAUGUUCAACAUCUUAGCUGUUGGGAAUGUCUCCACCCGGGCCGAACAUACAGUCUCCACCUGGGCCGGAUAUGCCCAUGUCAGCAUCAAACAGACACCUAACUCAACUCAUUCAUCACUGAAAAACUUACACCUGCAUCUUCGUUUGGUCUGAUUCCACUCCAGCUCCAGAAACCAAGCCAAAGACACAACUGAUUAAAACCAGUCUUCUGCAGAACACAUGCAUGCAGCAGACCAGCAGGCAAGUGUGCAGAAUUCCCCUCCAAAAUAAAAGCCAUCAGUCAUCUUGGUGUCUCUGCUGCGGAUGUUGACGCUGACAACGCCGUGAUGAAUGACGUCCAUCUUCUCACCGUUGGUUCCUUCUCUGGUGAUGAAGUCGCCCGGCUGGAAGACCUUAAAGCACAGUUUGGUCAGCAUGGAGGGGACAAAGCUGGGAUUGGCGUUGGCCAAAAGUGGCGUGGAGGCCGCACUGUUUGUGACAGUUGAAGAAGAUUAUUUCCUGAGGCGAAACAGGAAAGGGUUGUAGACAUUUUUUACUGAGGCAAAGGCUUGGGAUGAACAUUUCAUUGUAAAAGCAGCUUAGUGCUCUGUUGAUAAGGUUCUCUGCCCUCAUGAAGCAAUAACUAAUCAGUUUACAUGACUCUUAACGUUAUCAUGCAAAGAAAGACGGCUGGAUUAUAUCAUUAAUUGUAUGUGAAUCAUUCAAACAAGGAUGUUCUCAUAUAUUUGUUUCAACAAAAAGCAACCAAAAAACUCAAACACAUUUAAAUUAAAGUUUACAUUUUAUUUGCAGUCUGUAAA